RNAcentral lists this long non-coding RNA (345 nucleotides) under Homo sapiens (human). RNAcentral's name for it is "non-protein coding lnc-YARS2-1:1". The record is from RNAcentral. Lineage: Eukaryota; Metazoa; Chordata; Mammalia; Primates; Hominidae.
UAUACAGAUUACAGCUACUUUGUGACUGAUAGUGAGUGGAACUUCCACCUGAUAUAUCCCUAUUAUACUAUGAAAAUGUACAAAUACCUGAAAUGUAAAAAUGAGCCUAAUGUUAAGAUGGAUAGGAAGGACACUGUGACUAGUUCUGUGUGGAGUUUGGUAGCACUGUGAUUCAUUUGAUGCUUCUAGAAACCACAAAAAACUAUACAUUGGAGAAAUUAUGGACUCUGUGUUCUUAUGAUGACUAGUUAGUUCUGAAGCACCUGGACAUUAUCUGAAGACUUCAUUCUUGGAAUAGAAGAUGACAUUUCAUCCCUGACUCCAGUGGAGUUCAAGUGUGAAUAA